Molecule: ribosomal RNA, 553 nt
Filed under: Salmoneus alpheophilus
Lineage: Eukaryota; Metazoa; Arthropoda; Malacostraca; Decapoda; Alpheidae
Description: partial small subunit ribosomal RNA
Source: RNAcentral
GGGUAAAUGAAAAUGGUUUGUUUAGUAAUUAAAAGAAACUUUUAGUGGCUAUCUUUUAUGUGGAGUUAGUAGUGAAAUAUGGAAUCUGAUUUAUAAAAGUUAAGUUCUAAAUAGAAUUUUUGAAGUUAUAAAAAUAAAGGUAUAAAAUAGGAUUAGAUACCCUACUAUACUUUAUAGAAAAUUUUUAAUGCAUAGGUAGUAGUAGAUAUGGUCUUGAAAUCUAAAAGAUUUGGCGGUAUCUAAGUCUAGUUAGAGGAACCUGUUAUGUAAGCGAUAAUCCACGGAUAUCUAUCCUCAUUUUGUAAUUUUCAGUAUGUAUACCGCCAUUAUUAGGUAAUUUUAAAAGAUAUUUACUAAAAUAAGUUUUUUCUUAGUAUAUUAGGUCAAGGUGCAGCUAAUGGUGGGGGAUUGAAUGGGUUACAAUGAUAUUUAAAUUAUACGAAUAGAUAAAGGAAGUGUUUUCUUGAAGGAGGAUUUAAUUGUAAAUAACGUGUAUUUUGCGUUUUUGAUAAUAGCUCUUAGAUAUGUACAUAUCGCCCGUCGUUCUCAUUAA